UACGUAGGGCGCAAGCGUUGUCCGGAAUUAUUGGGCGUAAAGAGCUCGUAGGCGGUCUGUCACGUCUGCUGUGAAAAUCCGGGGCUCAACCCCGGACUUGCAGUGGGUACGGGCAGACUUGAGUGCGGUAGGGGAGAUUGGAAUUCCUGGUGUAGCGGUGGAAUGCGCAGAUAUCAGGAGGAACACCGAUGGCGAAGGCAGAUCUCUGGGCCGUUACUGACGCUGAGGAGCGAAAGCAUGGGGAGCGACAGGAUUAGA
This 258-nucleotide ribosomal RNA is filed under the name uncultured prokaryote. Its description in RNAcentral is "partial 16S ribosomal RNA". It matches the Rfam family "Bacterial small subunit ribosomal RNA", at positions 524 to 782 of the family's 1533-position model. The record is from RNAcentral.